RNAcentral lists this ribosomal RNA (433 nucleotides) under uncultured bacterium. Its description in RNAcentral is "partial 16S ribosomal RNA". It matches the Rfam family "Bacterial small subunit ribosomal RNA", at positions 29 to 507 of the family's 1533-position model. The record is from RNAcentral.
AACGAACGCUGGCGGCAUGCCUAACACAUGCAAGUCGAACGAGACCUUCGGGUCUAGUGGCGCACGGGUGCGUAACGCGUGGGAACCUGCCCUUAGGUUCGGAAUAACUCCCCGAAAGGGGUGCUAAUACCGGAUAAUGUCUUCGGACCAAAGAUUUAUCGCCUUUGGAUGGGCCCGCGUUGGAUUAGCUAGUUGGUAGGGUAAAAGCCUACCAAGGCGACGAUCCAUAGCUGGUCUGAGAGGAUGAUCAGCCACACUGGGACUGAGACACGGCCCAGACUCCUACGGGAGGCAGCAGUGGGGAAUAUUGGACAAUGGGCGAAAGCCUGAUCCAGCAAUGCCGCGUGAGUGAUGAAGGCCUUAGGGCUUUAAAGCUCUUUUACCCGGGAUGAUAAUGACAGUACCGGGAGAAUAAGCUCCGGCUAACUCCGUG